UACGAAGGGAGCUAGCGUUGUUCGGAAUCACUGGGCGUAAAGCGCACGUAGGCGGAUGUGUCAGUCAGGGGUGAAAUCCCGGAGCUCAACUUCGGAACUGCCUUUGAUACAGCACAUCUGGAGUCCGGAAGAGGUGGGUGGAAUUCCUAGUGUAGAGGUGAAAUUCGUAGAUAUUCGCAAGAACACCAGUGGCGAAGGCGGCUCACUGGCCCGGUACUGACGCUCAGGGGCGAAAGCGUGGGGAGCGAACCGG
RNAcentral lists this ribosomal RNA (253 nucleotides) under uncultured bacterium. Its description in RNAcentral is "partial 16S ribosomal RNA". It matches the Rfam family "Bacterial small subunit ribosomal RNA", at positions 524 to 776 of the family's 1533-position model. The record is from RNAcentral.